CUCCCAGGGACGGAUAUUCAAUAUGGUUCCUAUGAGGGUGUUACUGUUGUUCGCAAUACCACUGAUUGGUAUUUUUCUGCAAAAAUCAUCCAGCAGGAGCAUUGACGAAAGUAAUCAUGUCGAAAGUUCCUCAGACCUCGGUGUUGAUAUUCGUGAGGAGCAAAGAUAAAUUCGUGAUGGGAAGGAUAUGCUGAUUCGAACCAGGCGAGAUAUAGAUAGUGCAAUUGCAGAUAUGAUAGAAUAUAAACGUGCAGUGGGCGAUUCAGCGCUAUCAAAUGAGGAUGAAACGCAUGACAUACAAAAACGUUGGGGCCGACGUAGGAGAAAAGGGGGCCGCAGGAGGUCACGUCGUAGAAGGAGACUCGGCCGUGUUAUGGAGGGAGUAGGACAAGGUUUAGGUAUCGCACAGUCUGCCAAGGAUCUUUUUUGGGGAUGAGACACUGGUGGGAGCGAUGACGACAAUGCAUAAGGAUGAAUAUUAGAAUGAAGAUGCCUAAAAUGCAUGCACAACAAAUCAUACCAAAUUUAAAAAAAUAUUUAGUAAUGGCAUUUUUUUCUUUCUACACAAUGAAAAAAAACUUUCAAUACAGACAAUUGUUUUCCUAGUUUUCA
Ostrea edulis (European flat oyster) is the source of this 612-nucleotide RNA transcript. RefSeq lists it as uncharacterized. The record is from RefSeq and is a predicted model, not a curated record. Lineage: Eukaryota; Metazoa; Mollusca; Bivalvia; Ostreida; Ostreidae. The transcript is spliced from 7 exons.